UCCAGCUUAUCGCUGGCGGUCUCCUGCGAGUUCCGCCUUUCGGCAUGGCAACACAGGACAAGGGUUGCGCUCGUUGCGGGACUUAACCCAACAUCUCACGACACGAGCUGACGACAGCCAUGCAGCACCUCGACCGGACUCCCUUGCGGGAUAGCAGUAUUUCUACCACCGUUAACCGGCCGUUCGAGCCCAGGUAAGGUUCUUCGCGUUGCGUCGAAUUGAACCACAUGCUCCACCGCUUGUGCGGGCCCCCGUCAAUUCCUUUGAGUUUCAGCCUUGCGACUGUACUCCCCAGGCGGCAUAUUUAACGCGUUAGCUCCGGCACAGACAGAAUGAACUGCCCACACCAAAUAUGCAUCGUUUAGGGCGUGGACUAC
Molecule: unclassified non-coding RNA, 377 nt
Filed under: uncultured Bryobacterales bacterium
Lineage: Bacteria; Pseudomonadati; Acidobacteriota; Terriglobia; Bryobacterales
Description: contains 16S-23S intergenic spacer region
Source: RNAcentral